Molecule: ribosomal RNA, 253 nt
Filed under: uncultured bacterium
Lineage: Bacteria
Description: partial 16S ribosomal RNA
Rfam family: Bacterial small subunit ribosomal RNA
Source: RNAcentral
UACAGAGGGUGCGAGCGUUAAUCGGAAUUACUGGGCGUAAAGCGCGCGUAGGCGGCUUUGCAAGUCGGGUGUGAAAUCCCCAGGCUUAACCUGGGAACUGCAUUCGAGACUGCAUUGCUAGAGUAUGGGAGAGGGAAGUGGAAUUUCCGGUGUAGCGGUGAAAUGCGUAGAUAUCUGGAGGAACACCGGUGGCGAAGGCGGCAUCCUGGACCGGUAUUGACGCUGAGGCGCGAAAGCUAGGGGAGCAAACGGG